AAAGCAUACACAUGCAACUUUAAAAAAUUUUAAUGAUAAAAUAGUUAAAAAAUUUAGAUUCCAAAAAGAACCAUGAUUGCUAACCCUAAAGGAUCCAAAAAAACUUAGAUCACUAAAUUAGCUACUUAAUUAUUUUGUAGAAAUAUCUUACAGUCAAUGGAGCUAAAAGAAGAUGGUAUUUAGAUAGUGGCUAUUCAAAGUAUAUGAUGGAUGAUAAGGAUUAAUUUAUCACUCUUGAAAGAAAGAAAGAAAGGAGG
This 257-nucleotide long non-coding RNA is filed under the name Elaeis guineensis (African oil palm). RNAcentral describes it as "long non-coding RNA (EGUI_LNC029690)". The record is from RNAcentral. Lineage: Eukaryota; Viridiplantae; Streptophyta; Magnoliopsida; Arecales; Arecaceae.